GACAGAGGGUGCAAACGUUGUUCGGAAUUACUGGGCGUAAAGCGUGUGUAGGCGGCCAUUCAAGUCGGAUGUGAAAGCCCCGGGCUCGACCCGGGAAGUGCACCCGAAACUGGAUGGCUUGAGUAUCGGAGAGGUUGGUGGAAUUCUCGGUGUAGAGGUGAAAUUCGUAGAUAUCGAGAGGAACACCGGUGGCGAAGGCGGCCAACUGGACGAAUACUGACGCUGAGACACGAAAGCGUGGGGAGCAAACAGG
Molecule: ribosomal RNA, 253 nt
Filed under: uncultured bacterium
Lineage: Bacteria
Description: partial 16S ribosomal RNA
Rfam family: Bacterial small subunit ribosomal RNA
Source: RNAcentral